CGGGGAGGUAGUGACGAAAAAUAACGAUACGGGACUCAUCCGAGGCCCCGUAAUCGGAAUGAGUACACUUUAAAUCCUUUAACGAGGACCAAUUGGAGGGCAAGUCUGGUGCCAGCAGCCGCGGUAAUUCCAGCUCCAAUAGCGUAUAUUAAAGUUGUUGCGGUUAAAAAGCUCGUAGUUGAAUCUGUGUGUCACAGUGUCGGUUCAUCGCUCGCGGUGUUUAACUGGCAUUAUGUGGUACGUCCUACCGGUGGGCUUAGCCUCUUGGGGCGGUCCAACUAAUAUCCCAUCGCGGUGCUCUUCACUGAGUGUCGAGGUGGGCCGGUACGUUUACUUUGAACAAAUUAGAGUGCUCAAAGCAGGCUACCUUUGCCUGAAUAUUGUGUGCAUGGAAUAAUGGAAUAGGACCUCGGUUCUAUUUUGUUGGUUUUCGGAACCCCGAGGUAAUGAUUAAUAGGGACAGAUGGGGGCAUUCGUAUUGCGACGUUAGAGGUGAAAUUCUUGGAUCGUCGCAAGACGGACAGAAGCGAAAGCAUUUGCCAAAAAUGUUUUCAUUAAUCAAGAACGAAAGUUAGAGGUUCGAAGGCGAUCAGAUACCGCCCUAGUUCUAACCAUAAACGAUGCCAGCUAGCGAUCCGCCGAAGUUCCUCCGAUGACUCGGCGGGCAGCUUCCGGGAAACCAAAGCUUUUGGGUUCCGGGGGAAGUAUGGUUGCAAAGCUGAAACUUAAAGGAAUUGACGGAAGGGCACCACCAGGAGUGGAGCCUGCGGCUUAAUUUGACUC
RNAcentral lists this ribosomal RNA (783 nucleotides) under Osiris sp. JS-2010. RNAcentral's name for it is "SSU rRNA". It matches the Rfam family "Eukaryotic small subunit ribosomal RNA", at positions 457 to 1201 of the family's 1831-position model. Lineage: Eukaryota; Metazoa; Arthropoda; Insecta; Hymenoptera; Apidae. The record is from RNAcentral.